RNAcentral lists this ribosomal RNA (468 nucleotides) under uncultured bacterium. RNAcentral describes it as "partial 16S ribosomal RNA". It matches the Rfam family "Bacterial small subunit ribosomal RNA", at positions 28 to 507 of the family's 1533-position model. The record is from RNAcentral.
GACGAACGCUGGCGGCGUGCUUAACACAUGCAAGUCGAACGGAAAGGCCCUGCUUUUGUGGGGUGCUCGAGUGGCGAACGGGUGAGUAACACGUGAGUAACCUGCCCUUGACUUUGGGAUAACUUCAGGAAACUGGGGCUAAUACCGGAUAGGAGCUCCUGCUGCAUGGUGGGGGUUGGAAAGUUUCGGCGGUUGGGGAUGGACUCGCGGCUUAUCAGCUUGUUGGUGGGGUAGUGGCUUACCAAGGCUUUGACGGGUAGCCGGCCUGGGAGGGUGACCGGCCACAUUGGGACUGAGAUAGGGCCCAGACUCCUACGGGAGGCAGCAGUGGGGAAUAUUGCACAAUGGGCGGGAGCCUGAUGCAGCAACGCCGCGUGCGGGAUGACGGCCUUCGGGUGGUAAACCGCUUUCGCCUGUGACGAAGCGUGAGUGACGGUAAUGGGUAAAGAAGCACCGGCUAACUACGUG